RNAcentral lists this transfer RNA (96 nucleotides) under uncultured Acidimicrobiales bacterium. RNAcentral's name for it is "tRNA-Arg". The record is from RNAcentral. Lineage: Bacteria; Bacillati; Actinomycetota; Acidimicrobiia; Acidimicrobiales.
CGAGAACAUCGCCAAUGGUCACGGCGGUCCGCAGGAUCCUGAUCUGCUCACCACCCCCGACGAACAGCGGGCGCUGUUCGAAGCAGUGGGCCUCGA